CGGGACGGGUGAGUAACGCGUGGGUAACCUACCCUGUACACACAGAUAACAUACCGAAAGGUAUGCUAAUACGGGAUAAUAUAUUUGAGAGGCAUCUCUUGAAUAUCAAAGGUGAGCCAGUACAGGAUGGACCCGCGUCUGAUUAGCUAGUUGGUAAGGUAACGGCUUACCAAGGCGACGAUCAGUAGCCGACCUGAGAGGGUGAUCGGCUACAUUGGAACUGAGACACGGUCCAA
Molecule: ribosomal RNA, 236 nt
Filed under: uncultured bacterium
Lineage: Bacteria
Description: partial 16S ribosomal RNA
Rfam family: Bacterial small subunit ribosomal RNA
Source: RNAcentral